AUAUAUACUCUUAUGAGUACGAUCGCUUUUGUACUCAUAAAUCAUUUUUGAUGAAAGAGUUUCCGAUUCGACGAUUCAUACAGUUAAACAUUAUUUAGAGCAUUUAAAAUUUCUAGAAAUCAAAUUUUAUAAUCUAGAUAAUGAUCAAUAACUCCGAUUUUAAAUUAAAGGAUCCGAUCAUCCAUUUUUAGGAUGUCGUUCGAUUUUGACCGUUCAUUUUAUACCCGCUUGAUGAACUUUGUUAUAUAUAUAUAUAGUAGGGCUACUAUACUCUUAUGAGUAUGGAGUCCUUCGUACUCAAAAGUUAUUUUAGAUGAUGGGGCUUUCGAAUUGACCAUCCACUCCAUCAAAUAUGAUCUAGGGUGUUUAAAACUUUUAGAAAAUAAUAAAGUUCAUCAAGCAGGUAUAAAAUGAACAGUCAAAAUCGAACGACAUCCUAAAAAUGGAUGAUCGGAUCCUUCAAUUUAAGAUCGAAGUUAUUGAUCUUUAUCUAUGUAGUGAAUAGAAUUUUCUAUCAAAAAUUCAACUGAUUUCAAUUUCUUUACACCGUUAGACUAGCAAAUAUCUCAUACCAGCCGUUAAAAAUUGUCAAUUUUGUGACCUUUUGAUCAUAUGGUAAAUGAUGUCGAAAAAUUAUAAAAUUAUAUUUCUAGACGUUUUAAAUGUUUUAGAUAACGUUUAAUGGUGUGAAUUUUCGAUUCGGAAGCUCUAUCAUCAAAAAUAAUGUAUGAGUACGAGGGCGAUCGUACUCAGAAGAGUAUAGUAGCCGGUCUCU
Molecule: long non-coding RNA, 775 nt
Filed under: Ananas comosus (pineapple)
Lineage: Eukaryota; Viridiplantae; Streptophyta; Magnoliopsida; Poales; Bromeliaceae
Description: long non-coding RNA (ACOM_LNC009858)
Source: RNAcentral